RNAcentral lists this ribosomal RNA (253 nucleotides) under uncultured bacterium. Its description in RNAcentral is "partial 16S ribosomal RNA". It matches the Rfam family "Bacterial small subunit ribosomal RNA", at positions 524 to 776 of the family's 1533-position model. The record is from RNAcentral.
UACGUAGGGGGCAAGCGUUGUCCGGAAUCAUUGGGCGUAAAGAGCGCGUAGGCGGCCCUGUAAGUCCGCUGUGAAAGUCAAGGGCUCAACCCUUGGAUGCCGGUGGAUACUGCAGGGCUAGAGUCCGGAAGAGGCGAGUGGAAUUCCUGGUGUAGCGGUGAAAUGCGCAGAUAUCAGGAAGAACACCCGUGGCGAAAGCGGCUCUCUGGAACGGUACUGACGCUGAGACGCGAAAGCGUGGGGAGCGAACAGG